RNAcentral lists this RNase P RNA (296 nucleotides) under uncultured Eubacterium sp. Its description in RNAcentral is "Bacterial RNase P class A". It matches the Rfam family "Bacterial RNase P class A", at positions 46 to 365 of the family's 367-position model. Rfam says of the family: Ribonuclease P (RNase P) is a ubiquitous endoribonuclease, found in archaea, bacteria and eukarya as well as chloroplasts and mitochondria. Its best characterised activity is the generation of mature 5'-ends of tRNAs by cleaving the 5'-leader elements of precursor-tRNAs. Lineage: Bacteria; Bacillati; Bacillota; Clostridia; Eubacteriales; Eubacteriaceae. The record is from RNAcentral.
GAAAGUCCGGGCUUCACAGGGCAGGAUGCCGGAUAACGUCCGGCGGAGGCGACUCCCGGGAAAGUGCAACAGAAAGAUACCGCCGGUAUUCAACCGGUAAGGGUGAAAUGGCGAGGUAAGAGCUCACCGCUGUACUGGUAACAGGACAGGCUCUGUAAACCCCAUCCGAAGCAAGACCAAGACGUGACGAUACGGCUGCCCGCCGUGUCACAGGUAGGUUGCUUGAAUCGUAUGGUAACAUACGAUCUAGAUAGAUGAUCACCCACGACAUAACCCGGCUUAUCGUUCUGCUCGAC